Molecule: long non-coding RNA, 1364 nt
Filed under: Homo sapiens (human)
Lineage: Eukaryota; Metazoa; Chordata; Mammalia; Primates; Hominidae
Description: HSALNT0105543
Source: RNAcentral
GCAAAGCCAGCCCAGGAAGAGCUGCUGAGCAGGUUGUAAGGAACGAGGAUGCCCCACCCCCCCUCCUUGGCAAAGCAGAGGAUGGUAUUCCAGACAGGUCACAAACAGCUCAAGCAAAGACGUGGUGACAGGGAUGAGGAAGGCACGCUUGCGGAUCGCUAGAAUGGAGGUUGCCUGGGCACAGACACCUUGGAGGAUCCGAUUAGCAAGAAAGGCAGGGCCUGUCCGGAUGGGGGCAAGCCUUGCCCAACAGACUAAGAAGUUUAAUCUUUAUCCUAGAGGCCACUGAGAGCUACCGGGGGUGGGGCGUUAUGGGGAGGCAGGGCUGCUCUGAAACAGGAAGAUUAAUCACAGCUGGGCUGCCUGCCGCUGGCUGCCUGUCACAUGGGAGCUGUGCUGCCCUCAAGCUGCCCAGCUGGAGCACCCUCUUUCCAGGUGACCAAAGCUGGAUCCGGGUGCCCCCUGGCUUAGGAAGGGCAGCCCUGGGCAAGUGUGAGGGAGUGAAGACCAGGCCUGAGAAGCAGGGAGAAGCUGUUUGUCAGGGAAGUGUAGUCACCAGGAUCAGGGUGGCUUCCCCUCCACAGCCCCUUACUCAUCCCUGUUGCCACACCUGUGCUCGGGCUGACAGUGACAGUGGUGUCCUGGAGCUCUCUGUGACUCUUAUUUUUUUAGAGACAGGGUCUUGCAAUGUUCUUUCUACUUAAUUUUAUUUCUUACAAAAGAUUGGCCUUUCACAAGCAUCAUCCAGCGCAGCUAAGCAUAGUGGUUACUAGCACUGACCCUGGGCAAGACUACCUGGUCUUCACUCCCAGCUCUAGUGCUUACUAGCUGUGUGUCCUUGGGCAAGUCACUUCACCUCUCUGUGUCUCAUUGUUAUACAUAAAAUGGGGGAUACUGUUAACCCAUCUCAUAGAGUCCUCAGGAGGAUUAAGUUACAUGUAUGUAAAGCUCUUAUAACAACUUUUGGGAAGUAAUUAGUGCUCUUUCCAUGUUUAUUAAAUGCAUAUAAUAGAAAAUGAAUGUAUCCAGAGAGGCAGUCUGACUUACCUAAGGUCACACAGCAAAUUAGAGACAGAGCUAGAAUCAGAGCCCAAACCUCUGCCAUGGCAGGUAGCCCUGCUAGUCUUGUUUGGGGUUAUUUGCCCCUGACCAAGGUCCAUAGGGCUUCUGGGGAGGAUCUAUGUGUCCUGACAUUGGAUAGUUUACUUAGAAGGGGUGGAGCAAGGAGACCCUGUGGCCUCUGCCCUGGACAGGCAGGUUGUGGAGGUGGCCUCCAGGGUGCACAGCUUCUCCUGCCUGAGGCAGGCUGCACACAGGAGUCCAGGCAGGACCUGACUCCAUUACUGCGGUUUGUCAGGUCAGCA